UUACGUCGUUAACGGCUUGGGUCAUGGC
This 28-nucleotide small RNA is filed under the name Bombyx mori (domestic silkworm). RNAcentral describes it as "ovarian small RNA-36586". The record is from RNAcentral. Lineage: Eukaryota; Metazoa; Arthropoda; Insecta; Lepidoptera; Bombycidae.